CACAUGGUGGGCCUUGCAAAAUGCCCCCUGCUUGGGCUUGGGCCCUAAAAGUUGUGAAAAAUCUUAUUAGUAUUAGCCCACUUACAUAUGUGCCUAUCAUUUCUCUUCUAUACAAAUUAGGUCUGUAUACAAUAAAAGUGAUGCCUUGCUGCUUCUAUUUUCUAUUCUGUCUUCUUUCCUUUCUUGUGAUUCUUGAAUCUUCUCCAUGCCUUAUAUCUGGUAAGCACACGUCCAAUCCUGUAGCUAUUAUUCCUUCCUUCUACACAAAAUCACAGGAUGAUAAUUUUUAUAUCUGUUUCUUGCUUGGGAAUUAUACUUAUGAUGGCUAUGCAGGUUAGAGGUGAAAUUCUUGGAUUUAUGAAAGACGAACAACUGCGAAAGCAUUUACUAAGGAUGUUUUCAUUAAUCAAGAACGAAAGUUGGGGGCUCGAAGACGAUCAGUUACCGUCCUAGUCUCAACCAUAAACGAUGCUGACUAGGGAUCGGCGUAUGUUGCUUUUAGGACUCUGCCGACACCUUAUGAGAAAUCAAAGUCUUCGGGUUCCGGGAGGUGUAUGGUCGCAAGGCUGAAACUUAAAGGAAUUGACAGAAGGGCACCACCAGGAGUGGAGCCUGCGGCUUAAUUUAACUCAACAUGGGGAAACUUACUAGGUCCAGACAUAGUAAGGAUUGACAGACUGAGAGCUCUUUCUUGAUUCUAUGGGUGGUGAGGCAUGGCCGUUCUUAGUUGGUAAAGUGAUUUGUCUAGUUAAUUACGUUAACGAACGAGACCUCAGCCUGCUAACUAGCUAUGCAGAGGUAUCGCUCCGCGGCUAGCUUCUUAAAGGGACUAUGGCCUUCUAGGCCAAGGAAGUUUGAGGCAAUAACAGGUGUGUGACGCCCUUAGAUGUUCUAGGCCGCACACGCACUACACUGAUGUAUUCAAUGAGUCUAUAGCCUUGGUCGACAGGCCCGGGUAAUUUUUAAAAUUUCACCAUGAUGGGGAUAGACCAUUACAAUUAUUAGUCUUCAAUGAGGAAUUCCUAGUAAAGGCGAGUCAUCAGCUCGUGUUGACUAUGUCCCUGCCCUUUGUACACACCGCCCGUCCUCCUACCGGUUGAAUGGUCCGGUGAAGUGUUCGGAUCGCGGCCAUAUGGGUGGUUCGCCGCCGGCGACGUCGUUAGAAGUCCACUGAACCUUAUCAUUUAUAGGAAGGAGAAGUCGUAACAAGGUUUCCAUAGGUGAACCUGCGGAAGGAUCAUUG
Molecule: non-coding RNA, 1243 nt
Filed under: Ricinus communis (castor bean)
Lineage: Eukaryota; Viridiplantae; Streptophyta; Magnoliopsida; Malpighiales; Euphorbiaceae
Description: Eukaryotic small subunit ribosomal RNA
Rfam family: Eukaryotic small subunit ribosomal RNA
Source: Rfam by way of RNAcentral